AAAUGCAUAAAAUGACAAAUCCCACCAUUUAAGCCUCUCUGCCUUCGUUCUUAAGGAAGCAGAGAAGGCAGCUGCGUGGAUGAUCAGGGAAAGAAAGAAAGAAAGAAGAAGAAGAAGAAGAAGAAGAAGAAGAAGAAGAAGAAAAGAAGAAGAAGAAAAAAUUGGGCUUCUCAUUUAGGGUCAAAAAUUCUCAAAGGCAAGUAUUCUAACCCCAUCCUAUAGAAGUAUUAGUCUAUGUUCCUAUAUUGAUUCUGAAAUAUUUAUGCUUAGAACCUGAUAUUUCUCUCUUUGGACAAAAAACCAAGGAUCUGAAAUUUUUUUUGGUAAACUGACCCCUAUACACUGUUUCAGCUAUAAUUUAUAGCACCAAAGGUGGAUUCAGGCAGACCUAGUUUUUUUGAAAUUAGACUCAUAUAUCUUUCUUUUGACACUAAUUUUGUCGAUUUUGGACACCGAAUACUUACCCAAACAUCUGUUUCAAAUGAGC
RNAcentral lists this long non-coding RNA (487 nucleotides) under Musa acuminata (dwarf banana). Its description in RNAcentral is "long non-coding RNA (MACU_LNC010585)". The record is from RNAcentral. Lineage: Eukaryota; Viridiplantae; Streptophyta; Magnoliopsida; Zingiberales; Musaceae.